UCUCUUCUCCUUCCACGUUCCGAAUUACUUGUCGCAAGUAUGGAUGUAUCUAGAAGUAUUUUAGUUCUAGAUACAUCCAUUUCUGCGACGAGUAAUUUGGAACGGAGGGAGUACAUG
Non-coding RNA from Triticum aestivum (bread wheat), 117 nucleotides. Lineage: Eukaryota; Viridiplantae; Streptophyta; Magnoliopsida; Poales; Poaceae. The record is from Rfam.